CCUGCCCACACCUGCAGAGAGUUGGGAGCGUGAAGACUGAAGGAAGAAAGUCAGAGACAGAAAACUAAGAGAAGAACCGGGAAGAACAUGUUCAACCCAAUCCGUCUGAUUCUCUGAUCCGAGCCGAACCGAGCCGAGCCGAGCCGGGAUCAGAGCCAGUUUUACCUGGACCCACCUGGACCCGGAUCCUCCUGAGACUCCCUGAAGAUUUCUCAACAUUUCCCUGAAGCAGGAAGUACAGCAGCAGCAGCCAUGGGUAGCAAGGAGCGAUACCAUUGGGUGGCUCAGAACGUGAAGGUGAGCGGCGUGGACGACAUGGUGCUGCUGUCCAAGAUCAACGAGGACGCCAUCACCGACAACCUGAAGAAGAGAUACAUGGACGACUACAUCUUCACGUACAUCGGUGCUGUUCUGAUCUCGGUGAAUCCGUUCAAACAGCUUCCUUAUUUCACCGACAGAGAAGUGGAAAUCUACCAGGGAGCUGCUCAGUAUGAGAAUCCUCCCCACAUCUACGCUCUGGCUGACACCAUGUACAGAAACAUGAUGAUUGACAGCGAGAACCAGUGUGUCAUCAUCAGCGGUGAGAGUGGAGCAGGGAAAACUGUCGCUGCCAAAUACAUCAUGAGCUACGUGUCGAAAGUGUCCGGAGGAGGAGACAAAGUCCAGCAUGUUAAAGACAUCAUCCUGCAGUCCAACCCUCUGCUGGAAGCUUUCGGUAACGCCAAAACUGUCCGUAACAACAACUCCAGCAGAUUUGGUAAAUACUUUGAGAUCCAGUUCAGUCGAGGUGGAGCUCCUGAUGGAGGAAAAAUCUCAAACUUUCUGUUGGAGAAAAGUCGAGUAGUUUCCCAAAAUCCUGGAGAGAGAAGCUUCCACAUCUACUACCAGCUGUUGGGGGGGGCGAGUUCGGAGCAGCGGGAGAACCUCGGGGUCACGACCCCCGACUACUACCUGUACCUCAACCAAUCAGGAACCUACACGGUGGAGGACAUGAACGACAAGAAGGAGUUCACUGACACUAUGGCGGCCAUGUCAGUAGUGGGUCUGUCUGCCGAGGACCAGGAAGCAGUUCUUCAGCUCGUUGCAGGAAUUCUUCAUCUGGGAAACAUCAGCUUCAGAGAGGAGAACAAUUACGCUGUGGUCGAAAGCCAGGACUUCCUAGCGUUCCCGUGCUUCCUGCUGGGGAUCCCUCAGGACGGCCUGUGCAGUAAGCUGACCAGCAGGAUGAUGGACAGUAAGUGGGGGGGGAAGACUGAGUCCAUCUCGGUCACGCUGAACACGGAGCAGGCCUGUUUCUCCAGAGACGCUCUGUCCAAGGCGCUGUACACCAGGCUGUUUGACUUCCUCGUAGACUGUAUUAAUAAAGCCAUGCAGAAGGACCAGGAGGAGCUCAACAUCGGAGUCCUCGACAUCUACGGCUUUGAGAUCUUCCAGAGAAACGGCUUCGAGCAGUUCUGCAUCAACUUUGUGAACGAGAAGCUGCAGCAGAUUUUUAUCGAGCUCACGCUGAAGGCAGAACAGGAAGAGUAUGUCCAGGAGGGGAUCAAGUGGACGCCCAUCGAGUAUUUCAACAACAAGGUGGUCUGUGACCUCAUCGAGUCCAAACUGAAUCCUCCUGGGGUGAUGAGCAUCCUGGACGACGUGUGCGCCACGAUGCACGCUAAAGGAGAAGGCGCCGACCAGACGCUGCUGCAGAAGCUGCAGGGCCAGAUCGGCUCGCACGAACACUUCAGCAGCUGGAACAAGGGCUUCAUCAUCCACCACUACGCCGGGAAGGUGUCGUAUGAUGUCAGUGGUUUCUGUGAGAGGAACAGAGACGUGUUGUUCACCGACAUCAUUGAGCUGAUGCAGAGCAGCGAGUUUCCGUUCAUCAGAGCUCUGUUUCCUGAGAACCUGGAGGCGGAGAAGAGAGGGCGUCCGAGCACCGCCAGCACUAAGAUCAAGAAACAGGCCAACAGUCUGGUCCAGACCCUGAUGAAGUGCACCCCCCACUACAUCCGCUGCAUCAAGCCCAACGAGACCAAGCGGCCCCGGGACUGGGAGGAGAACCGGGUCAGACACCAGGUGGAGUACCUGGGCCUCCGCGAGAACAUCAGAGUCCGUCGGGCCGGAUACGCCUACAGACGCGUCUUCAACAAGUUCCUCCACAGGUACGCCAUCCUGACGAAGGAGACGUGGCCUCGCUGGAAGGGCGAGGAGCGCCAGGGAGUCAUGCACCUCCUCAGCUCCGUCAACAUGGACCAGGACCAGUUCCAGCUCGGCAAGACCAAAGUCUUCAUCAAGGCUCCAGAGUCGCUCUUCUUGUUGGAGGAGAUGAGGGAGAGGAAGUAUAACGGGUAUGCUCGGGUCAUCCAGAAGGCGUGGCGUAAACACAUCGCUGUCCGCAAGUACGUCAAGAUGAGGGAGGAAGCCUCUGACGUCCUGCUGAACAAAAAGGAGCGCCGCAGAAACAGCAUCAACAGGAACUUUGUGGGCGACUACCUCGGGACUGACAACCACCCAGAGAUCAGACAGUUCGUCGGCCGCAGAGAGAGGAUCGACUUCGCCGACGUCGUGGUGAAGUUUGACAGAAGAUUCAAGACAACGAAGCGUGACCUCAUCCUGACCCCGAAGUUCCUGUACCUGAUUGGUCGAGAGAAGGUGAAGCAGGGUCCAGAUAAAGGUCAGAUCCAGGAGGUCCUCAAGAGGAAGAUCGAGCUCAACAAGAUCCAGUCUGUUUCCCUGAGCACUCUGCAGGACGAUUUCUUCACAAUCCACGAGGAGGAGUACGACAGCGUCCUUCAGAGCGUCUUUAAAACGGAGUUCCUCAGUCUGCUCGUCAAACGUUAUCAGGAGAAAACUCAGAAGAAGCUGCCGCUCAAAUUCAACAACCUUCUGGAGUUUAAGGUGAAGAAAGGCGGGUGGGGUCCCUUCAACUCCUCUGGGUCCAGACAGAUCCAGUUCCAGGCGGGUCAGGGGGACGAGGCAGUCCUGAAGCCCUGCGGCAAGGUCCUGCAGGUCUCCAUCGGACCCGGGCUGCCUAAAAACUCCAGACCGACGAGGAAGGACAAUCGCAAGAGUCGCUACAUGGGAAGCCAGGCUCCGCCUAGCGGCCAGAACAGCUCAGCUUCUCGCUCCAGAGGGGGUGGAGCUCCCAGAGGAGGCCCUGCCUCCUCCAGAGGCUCCCUGCUGAGGCAGCACUCCACCAUGGAGCAGCCGAGUCUGCCCCGACUCCAGAGCCAGCGUCGACCCGACAGCCGGGCCCCAAAACAACCCGACAUGGGCUUCAUGAACGUCCCCGAGCAGGGCGCCGCAGGGCUUCAGCGGCGGCUGUCGAAGGAGGUGAAGCCUCUUCCUGGAGCCGGCCGAGCUAAACCGGCGCCCAAACCGAAGCCUCGCUCUCCGCAGUGCAGAGCGCUGUACGCCUACGAUGCCCAGGACACCGACGAACUCAGCUUCAACGCCGAUGAUAUCAUUGACAUACUCACUCAAGAUCCGUCUGGUUGGUGGUUUGGGCGGUUGCGGGGCAGAGAGGGGAUGUUCCCCGGAAACUACGUGGAGAAGAUCUAACCCUCCUCUCUGGGGGGUCAGAGGUCACCGGAGCUGUCAACACAUCAGCUGACAGGAGAAACAAGUUCAUUCACAAACAAACACGGAUGUUUCACUCAGACUGACAACAGCAAAGUCACUGUGUACACUCAGGUUACACGUUUCCCCCUCUCAUUCCUCCUGCUCUGGUGUUUCCCCCUCUCAUUCCUUCUGCUCUGGCGUUUCCCCCUCUCAUUCCCCCUGCUCUGGUGUUUCCCCCU
Molecule: RNA transcript, 3788 nt
Organism: Sander lucioperca (pikeperch)
Lineage: Eukaryota; Metazoa; Chordata; Actinopteri; Perciformes; Percidae
Gene: myo1eb
Gene name: myosin IEb
Exons: 28
Source: RefSeq, a predicted model, not a curated record